GGGGCAGCCCGGGAAAGGAGCUGAAGAAAUGAGAGAGAGGAGCGGCCGGGAUAAUGGGAAGAGGAAACAGGCAACCCCGAGUAGCCGGGUAGCCGGAGAAGGGCCCCGCCGGGCGUGGGCAGAAGCCAGCUAAGGGGCAGCGGCACCUGUGGUAGAGUUGCGGGGGAUUCUUUCCGAGCGCGACGGUCAGGCAAGGCUAACGCGGCUGGCAGUAUGGCCGGAGAUGGCGGGUGGCGAGCCAAGCCGCCGCCUGCUCGCCUCCCUCACUCACUUGCAGACUGUCGGGCGCCGACACACGCGCAAUGAGGUCGUCAAAGCUGGUGGUCCCUACGUCUCCCUCUCAUGCGGACCCGAGGCUGGACUGUGCUGCUGCCAUCUCGGCUCACUGCAACCUCCCUGCCUGAUUCUCCUGCCUCAGCCUGCCGAGAGGCACGCGCUGCCACGCCUGACUGGUUUUGGUGGAGACGGGGUUUUGCUGUGUUGGCCGGGCCGGUCUCCAGCCCCUAACCGCGACUGAUCUGCCAGCCUCGGCCUCCCGAGGUGCUGGGAUUGCAGACGGAGUCUCGUUCACUCAGUGCUCAAUGGUGCCCAGGCUGGAGUGCAGUGGCGUGAUCCCGGCUCGCUACAACCUCCACCUCCCAGCCGCCUGCCUUGGCCUCCCAAAGUGCCGAGAUUGCCG
This 679-nucleotide long non-coding RNA is filed under the name Pan troglodytes (chimpanzee). Its description in RNAcentral is "long non-coding RNA NONPTRT018516". Lineage: Eukaryota; Metazoa; Chordata; Mammalia; Primates; Hominidae. The record is from RNAcentral.